Molecule: small nuclear RNA, 104 nt
Organism: Sciurus carolinensis (gray squirrel)
Lineage: Eukaryota; Metazoa; Chordata; Mammalia; Rodentia; Sciuridae
Source: RefSeq, a predicted model, not a curated record
GUGCUCACUUUGGCAGCACAUCCUAAAACAAUGCAAUACAGAGAAGAUUAGCACGGCCCUUGCACAAGGAUGACACACAAAUUCAUGAAGCAUUCCAUGUUUUU